GGCCCCUGGCUAUGGGCAAAGAGACACCUGCCUGGUGGUGGUGCUCUUAUAUCAGUUAGGAACAGCGUCAAAUUGAAGUCCUUUGUUCAUCCUAGCUUGAUGCCUGGAUUGUGGCCAGAGCUGUUUCAUGCCUAGGGCACAUAU
RNAcentral lists this small nucleolar RNA (144 nucleotides) under Echinops telfairi (small Madagascar hedgehog). RNAcentral describes it as "Small nucleolar RNA SNORA48 (ENSETEG00000026951.1)". It matches the Rfam family "Small nucleolar RNA SNORA48". Rfam says of the family: The snoRNA ACA 48 has been identified to guide pseudouridylation of the residue U3797 in the 28S rRNA subunit. Its host gene EIF4A1 (eukaryotic translation initiation factor 4A1) is shared with U67 and snoRNA mgU6-77 Lineage: Eukaryota; Metazoa; Chordata; Mammalia; Afrosoricida; Tenrecidae. The record is from RNAcentral.